Molecule: long non-coding RNA, 493 nt
Organism: Megalobrama amblycephala (Wuchang bream)
Lineage: Eukaryota; Metazoa; Chordata; Actinopteri; Cypriniformes; Xenocyprididae
Exons: 4
Source: RefSeq, a predicted model, not a curated record
UCCCAGUUUGAGAGUCCCCCUUUGUUAAAUAUAACUGAGCAACCCUAUAGGUGGCGAUGUACGCCCGCGAGUCGCCAAUAAGCCAAUGGAUGAAGAAGAGCCAGUCACGCUGACCGUGAGUCUCUUGUAUGCUUGAGAGUGCAAUUUAUUCUGCUUACCUGACUCAUGCAGAAUUUGUCCUGAUGUUUGGCUGUGGUCCCUCCAUCAUCCAGACACUUUUUGGCAACUGGUCUGUGUAUGGAGGCCCCCAUGAUCUAUAUAGAUCCAGUGUUCUUUUCUCCCACAAACUCCACUUUCAGGAGCUCCUGUAAGCUGGUGGCCAUAUUGGUGAAUGAGAAUAGAGGGGAUUUGCAGACCACCAUUGAGAUGUUUCUCUUCUUUCGUAGGUAUAAAAAGUGCUCUGAUUACAGAUGUUUCACUGCUGUCAUUGGCAUGCUUGUCAUCUGACAAGGAUUUUGUGAAUAAUUGAAUAAUAAUAAAUGGAUAAUUUCUA